CCUACGGGAGGCAGCAGUGGGGGAUAUUGCACAAUGGGGGAAACCCUGAUGCAGCGACGCCGCGUGGGCGAAGAAGGAUUUCGGUAUGGAAAGCCCUAUCAGCAGGGAAGAAGAAAGGACGGGACCUGAGUAAGAAGCACAGGCUAAAGACGAGCCAGCAGCCGCGGUAAUACGAAUGGUGCAAGCGUUAGCCGGAUUUACUGGGUGUACAGGGAGCGCAGGCGGCACGGGAAGCCUGAUGGGAAAGCCCGCGGCCCAACCGCGGGACUGCCUUGGGAACUACCGGGCUGGAGUGCCGGAGCGGUCGGCGGAAUUCCUCGUGUCGCGGUGACCUGCGUAGAUAUUAGGAG
This 350-nucleotide ribosomal RNA is filed under the name uncultured bacterium. RNAcentral's name for it is "partial 16S ribosomal RNA". It matches the Rfam family "Bacterial small subunit ribosomal RNA", at positions 338 to 703 of the family's 1533-position model. The record is from RNAcentral.